UUAGAGUUUGAUUUUGGCUCAGGAUGAACGCUAGCGGCAGGCUUAAUACAUGCAAGUCGAACGGGAUUUAGGGUAGCAAUACUUUAAUGAGAGUGGCGCACGGGUGCGUAACACGUAUGCAACCUACCUUUAACUGGAAGAUAGCCCCGGGAAAUCGGGAUUAAUAUUUCAUAACAAUGCGCGAUGGCAUCAUCAUGCAUUUAAAGCUCCGGCGGUUAAAGAUGGGCAUGCGGGACAUUAGCUUGUUGGUGAGGUAACGGCUCACCAAGGCGAUGAUGUCUAGGGGUCCUGAGAGGGUUAUCCCCCACGCUGGUACUGAGACACGGACCAGACUCCUACGGGAGGCAGCAGUAAGGAAUAUUGGUCAAUGGGCGCAAGCCUGAACCAGCCAUGCCGCGUGCAGGAAGACGGCCCUAUGGGUUGUAAACUGCUUUUGUCAGGGAAUAAACCCCCGUACGUGUACGGGGCUGAAGGUACCUGAAGAAUAAGCAUCGGCUAACUCCGUGCCAGCAGCCGCGGUAAUACGGAGGAUGCAAGCGUUAUCCGGAUUCAUUGGGUUUAAAGGGUGCGCAGGCGGAUUGAUAAGUCAGGGGUGAAAUCCCACAGCUCAACUGUGGAACUGCCUUUGAUACUGUUAGUCUUGAGUAUAGUUGAAGUGGGCGGAAUGUGUCAUGUAGCGGUGAAAUGCUUAGAUAUGACACAGAACACCGAUCGCGAAGGCAGCUCGCUAAGCUAUAACUGACGCUCAUGCACGAAAGCGUGGGGAUCAAACAGGAUUAGAUACCCUGGUAGUCCACGCC
This 800-nucleotide ribosomal RNA is filed under the name uncultured bacterium. Its description in RNAcentral is "bacterial SSU rRNA". It matches the Rfam family "Bacterial small subunit ribosomal RNA", at positions 1 to 801 of the family's 1533-position model. The record is from RNAcentral.